Molecule: non-coding RNA, 72 nt
Organism: Phrynosoma platyrhinos (Desert horned lizard)
Lineage: Eukaryota; Metazoa; Chordata; Lepidosauria; Squamata; Phrynosomatidae
Source: the annotation of a GenBank genome assembly
GUCAGCAUGGUGUAGUGGUUUGAGUGUUGGACUAAAACUCUGGAGAUCUGGGUUCGAUUCCUGGCUCAGCCA